This 479-nucleotide ribosomal RNA is filed under the name uncultured bacterium. RNAcentral's name for it is "partial 16S ribosomal RNA". It matches the Rfam family "Bacterial small subunit ribosomal RNA", at positions 28 to 507 of the family's 1533-position model. The record is from RNAcentral.
GAUGAACGCUAGCGGGAGGCCUAACACAUGCAAGCCGAGCGGUAUUGUUUCUUCGGAAAUGAGAGAGCGGCGUACGGGUGCGUAACACGUGUGCAACCUGCCUUUAUCUGGGGGAUAGCCUUUCGAAAGGAAGAUUAAUACUCCAUAAUAUAUUGAACGGCAUCGUUUAAUAUUGAAAGCUCCGGCGGAUAGAGAUGGGCACGCGCAAGAUUAGCUAGUUGGUGAGGUAACGGCUCACCAAGGCGAUGAUCUUUAGGGGGCCUGAGAGGGUGAUCCCCCACACUGGUACUGAGACACGGACCAGACUCCUACGGGAGGCAGCAGUGAGGAAUAUUGGUCAAUGGGUGCAAGCCUGAACCAGCCAUCCCGCGUGAAGGACGACUGCCCUAUGGGUUGAAAACUUCUUUUGUAUAGGGAUAAACCUACCCUCGAGAGGGUAGCUGAAGGUACUAUACGAAUAAGCACCGGCUAACUCCGUG